CCUACGGGUGGCUGCAGUGGGGAAUAUUGCACAAUGGGCGCAAGCCUGAUGCAGCCAUGCCGCGUGUGUGAAGAAGGCCUUCGGGUUGUAAAGCACUCUCAGCGGGGAGGAAGGCGGUGAGGUUAAUAACCUCAUCGAUUGACGUUACCCGCAGAAGAAGCACCGGCUAACUCCGUGCCAGCAGCCGCGGUAAUACGGAGGGUGCAAGCGUUAAUCGGAAUUACUGGGCGUAAAGCGCACGCAGGCGGUCUGUCAAGUCGGAUGUGAAAUCCCCGGGCUCAACCUGGGAACUGCAUUCGAAACUGGCAGGCUAGAGUCUUGUAGAGGGGGGUAGAAUUCCAGGUGUAGCGGUGAAAUGCGUAGAGAUCUGGAGGAAUACCGGUGGCGAAGGCGGCCCCCUGGACAAAGACUGACGCUCAGGUGCGAAAGCGUGGGGAGCGAACAGGAUUAGAUACCCUGGUAGUC
RNAcentral lists this ribosomal RNA (465 nucleotides) under uncultured Klebsiella sp. RNAcentral's name for it is "bacterial SSU rRNA". It matches the Rfam family "Bacterial small subunit ribosomal RNA", at positions 338 to 795 of the family's 1533-position model. The record is from RNAcentral. Lineage: Bacteria; Pseudomonadati; Pseudomonadota; Gammaproteobacteria; Enterobacterales; Enterobacteriaceae.